Long non-coding RNA from Meriones unguiculatus (Mongolian gerbil), 674 nucleotides. RefSeq lists it as uncharacterized. Lineage: Eukaryota; Metazoa; Chordata; Mammalia; Rodentia; Muridae. The transcript is spliced from 4 exons. The record is from RefSeq and is a predicted model, not a curated record.
AGCUCAUGCAUCAGGAAAGUGGUGCUCGACUUCCCUGCGGUAUGUGUGUGACCUUGGGAAUGCCGCUUACCACCAGAUAUAUUUACUAGUGUGAAAGAAAAGGCGUUUGGAAGACUCAUUGAAGAAUGAGUUGAAAUGAAGUCCAACUGUACGGUGCCAUUUCAGAGAAGAUGAGAAAGUCGCAGGCGGCCAGCGAGGAGAGCAGCUGAGGCAGGAAAGGGGGCACGGCUGCUACAAGCCAAGGGACGGAGAGGAUUGCUGCCGAUUGCCACCAGCGGGGAAGGGACUGAGCUCUGGUCGCUGUCACUCACAUAAAAGCCAGGGCUCUGGGGCGGAUCUGUAACCCUGCCCGGCUCCUGGUUCAGGGACAGUCCCUGCCCCAAAGCCUCUCAUCAGCCCCAUGACUGGCAGGAAGCAAGACUGUGGAACUGUGUGCUAAAAACUCAGGGUUACUAGAAGGUUCACAUUCAGAGAGUCCUGCAGUCGUCGUGCUUUUGUUAAAACGUGUCUAACUCGGCCAUCCUCUGAGACGCGGGGCUCUCCUCCUCAUGGAUUGUCUGCCUCGCUGACAACCACGCGCCUAAAGGUUCAGUUUCAGACUUAACAUCUUGUCUUCAUUAUUUACCUCCUUUUGCUCUUACUUUGGCUCCCGUUACCAAUAAAAUAAAAUUUCU